AACGAACGCUGGCGGCAGGCCUAACACAUGCAAGUCGAGCGCCCCGCAAGGGGAGCGGCGGACGGGUGAGUAACACGUGGGAACGUACCCCUUUCUACGGAAUAGUCUCGGGAAACUGGGGGUAAUACCGUAUAAGCCCUACGGGGGAAAGAUUUAUCGGGAAGGGAUCGGCCCGCGUUGGAUUAGGUAGUUGGUGGGGUAAUGGCCUACCAAGCCGACGAUCCAUAGCUGGUUUGAGAGGAUGAUCAGCCACACUGGGACUGAGACACGGCCCAGACUCCUACGGGAGGCAGCAGUGGGGAAUCUUAGACAAUGGGCGCAAGCCUGAUCUAGCCAUGCCGCGUGAGCGAUGAAGGCCUUAGGGUUGUAAAGCUCUUUCAGUGGGGAAGAUAAUGACUGUACCCACAGAAGAAGCCCCGGCUAACUCCGUGCCAGCAGCCGCGGUAAUGUACAGUGU
Molecule: ribosomal RNA, 457 nt
Filed under: uncultured bacterium
Lineage: Bacteria
Description: bacterial SSU rRNA
Rfam family: Bacterial small subunit ribosomal RNA
Source: RNAcentral